GAUGAACGCUGGCGGCGUGCUUAACACAUGCAAGUCGAACGAUGAAGCCCAGCUUGCCGGGUGGAUUAGUGGCGAACGGGUGAGUAACACGUGAGUAACCUGCCCUUGACUCUGGGAUAAGCCUGGGAAACUGGGUCUAAUACUGGAUAUGACUUCUCAUCGCAUGGUGGGGGGGUGGAAAGAUUUAUUGGUCUUGGAUGGACUCGCGGCCUAUCAGCUUGUUGGUGAGGUAAUGGCUCACCAAGGCGACGACGGGUAGCCGGCCUGAGAGGGUGACCGGCCACACUGGGACCGAGACACGGCCCAGACUCCUACGGGAGGCAGCAGUGGGGAAUAUUGCACAAUGGGCGCAAGCCUGAUGCAGCGACGCCGCGUGAGGGAUGACGGCCUUCGGGUUGUAAACCUCUUUCAGUAGGGAAGAAGCGAGAGUGACGGUACCUGCAGAAGAAGCGCCGGCUAACUACGUG
This 467-nucleotide ribosomal RNA is filed under the name uncultured bacterium. RNAcentral's name for it is "partial 16S ribosomal RNA". It matches the Rfam family "Bacterial small subunit ribosomal RNA", at positions 28 to 507 of the family's 1533-position model. The record is from RNAcentral.